Molecule: long non-coding RNA, 1583 nt
Filed under: Daphnia pulex (common water flea)
Lineage: Eukaryota; Metazoa; Arthropoda; Branchiopoda; Diplostraca; Daphniidae
Description: uncharacterized LOC124207356, transcript variant X3
Source: RNAcentral
UGCGAGCCUGCGGCGCAGGUUCAGACGACAAAAAGGCGUCGACGGCACGAAGGCACAAAUCGAGGCGUCGUAGUGUAAUUACGACGCAUUUUUUGUGUCAAAAGUUUGGAGUUUUGGAGUUUGGUGGCCAAUUUAUGUGAAGUAAAAUUUGGUCCAUGCAGAAAGAAAGAUUGUCAGGCUUUCAGAGAGCGGACUCAAGUUGAAUUCAAAAUGGAAGACCCAUUGAAUAACUCUAUACAUCAGGAUCGGCUUUUGAAUUCAUUGGCAGCCUUGACGACUUUAUGCAUUUUCCUUGCCAUAAGUCCUGGUGUGUGUGAAUCAGCAUCUUUGGUCGCCUGUGGAGAUUUGCGAGAGAUGGAACUUUUCCUUUUCCUUAUGCUAGAGGCUGAUAACCAAGAAAUUUUUGACAUGGUUCUCCGCCUCACUGCUUAUCAAUUAUCAUUAUCCUGAAAAUAUCGUCUUGCCACAAGGAUAUACUCCUCCAAAUCUGGCAGUUAGCACACUUUACUGGAAGGCUUGGUUGAUGAUGAUUGCUCAUAAUCCUGGCAGUCUUGGGUCUGAGGCAUGGAAUUCAUUCCAUCCUACACUCCGAGCAUUGAUGGAGAUGUGUAUCACAAAUGAUUUCGCUACUUCUUCUGGUACCACAGACCAGACAGAGUUGCAGGUGGCUGCAAUUGAAAAGCAAACCAUCUUGGAAUUCGAAACACAUCUAGGAGCCGCCUCUACAAAAACUGUUAUUACCGAGAACAAUUCUUUGCUGCUAAGUCAAUUGACAUCACUUGAUCCACGAGGAUCUACGCGACGACCUCCUCCGGCUGUUAUUGAGCAGCUUCGAACUUUGAACGCAACACUUCGACUGGGUCACCUACUUUGUAGAAGUCGCCAACCAAACUUUUUAUUGUAAAUUCUGCAUAGGCAAGGAGCUGCGCAAACGAAGCCAUGGCUGGCUGAUUUGGUCGAGUCCAAUGAAGGUGCUUGGAACGUUCUGCCUGUUCAAUGUCUUUCUUGGCAAACGCAAGGAACGUCGUCACAAACACCAACAGUUGGUCCAGCAUCUAAGACUUUUGUUGACUGAUCCCAAUCAACUACCACCCGAAGCAUGCCGUGAAGUCCUAGACUAUUUGAUGAGACGAUUGAGUGCUCAGAAAGCUCUCGCCCGUCACCAAGCCCUCACGGCAUUGAGUGUGGUCUUGGCAGUAAAAACGAUGAUAUUACCAUGAGUGAUGGUGCAUGCUCCGAAGGAACAGGAGACGAUUCCCAGUUCUCUUGGCUUGUUCAUCAGUUACCUACCAUCCCACAUUUCGAAGCCGUACGCCCUGCCGUGAUUGCUGCUCUACGGGCCGCCUUUUUAAUUGAAACACAACCACUAGCCAUGUGUAUGCGUCAUCGUAAACAUCCGAUUCCGAUAUUUCCUUAUUUUUCAUAAUUUUUCCGUGCUUUCCCCUUUUUUCCCCAUUUUUAUCCAAAAUUUUCCAAUAUUUCCUAAUUUUCUUGGAGCAGGACGCAAGUCCUGACUAGUGACGUUUUUUUUAAUACGUAGCCAUCUAGCGCUCAGCUUGACAUACAUGAUUUUGUAGUUAGUA